AGAGCGUAGAGAAGAGUUAUUGAAACAAGCUAUUGUGAAUAUCGAUGAUAAACACCGAGAACAAUUUCCUUUAUGGUUCAAAAGAAAAAUUAUGCUAUUAUAUAAUAAGGAAAAGUCAAUGCCUAUCCAGAAAUUAUACCCUUUGGCAAUGGGACCUGAUGUGCGUGGAAGAACACAUACUGGUUGUAUUGUAAAUGGUGUCAAGUAUCAUGUUCAACGAUGCGAUGAAUUACGUAAAAGUCAAAAUUGUGGUAUAGUAGUUGCAGGCUACCAUGAAAAUGGUGAUUGACUUUUAUGGUAUUAUAGUUGACAUCCUUGAGUUAGAGUAUGUUGAGGAAAAUCGAAUUCUCCUAUUUGAAUGCAAGUGGUUUGAUCUUCGCAAGAAAACAGGGAUGCGAAAAGAUAAUAAUUUUACGAGUAUUUGUGUUAAAAGGUUUUGGUAUGAACAAGACUCUUUUGUACUAGCUACCCAAGAAAAACAAGUUUUCUAUAUAGAUGACCCAAAAUUGGGGGGAAAUUGGCGAAUUGUGCUCAAAUUUCAAGAUAGACACUUAUAUGAUGUGCCAGAGAAGGAAAAUUCAGAGGCAGAAAGUGAUGAGUUGCAUAUUGCAAAUGAUGAAGUGUAUCAAGAUAUUUCACUUGAAAAUAAUUCAAUUGUCAAUGAUUUGGUGGAAAUACGGUGUCAACUACAUAGAGAUGAUAUUGAUUCAGUUACCUUGGAUGCAAAUGUAAUUGAAUUGUAGGCUCAAACACAACAUGCGGUUAAAAUUGAUUACAGUGACGAUGACUGUAACCAAGAGGAUGAUACUAUAAUAGAGUACAUCAGUGAUCAUGAGGAGAAUGAAGGUAAUAAUAGUACCAAUGAUGAAGUUGAUAGCACAUUUGAUGGUGACGACAUUGGCUUGUGAUGUAACCUCAUAAGAGGGUCCAUAUAUUUGGACUGGUUGCAAACAAAAUAGAUGAAAUUGCAG
Molecule: long non-coding RNA, 971 nt
Organism: Solanum tuberosum (potato)
Lineage: Eukaryota; Viridiplantae; Streptophyta; Magnoliopsida; Solanales; Solanaceae
Exons: 3
Source: RefSeq, a predicted model, not a curated record